Molecule: ribosomal RNA, 550 nt
Filed under: Goffeauzyma aciditolerans
Lineage: Eukaryota; Fungi; Basidiomycota; Tremellomycetes; Filobasidiales; Filobasidiaceae
Description: eukaryotic LSU rRNA
Rfam family: Eukaryotic large subunit ribosomal RNA
Source: RNAcentral
AAACUAACAAGGAUUCCCCUAGUAACGGCGAGUGAAGCGGGAAGAGCUCAAAUUUGAAAUCUGGCAGCCUUCGGUUGUCCGAGUUGUAAUCUAUAGAGGCGUUUUCCGUGCCGGCUCAUGUACAGGUCCCUUGGAACAGGGCAUCAUAGAGGGUGAGAAUCCCGUACUUGACAUGAACCACCGGUGCUCUGUGAUACGCUCUCAACGAGUCGAGUUGCUUGGGAAUGCAGCUCAAAAUGGGUGGUGAAUUCCAUCUAAAGCUAAAUAUUGGCGAGAGACCGAUAGCGAACAAGUACCGUGAGGGAAAGAUGAAAAGCACUUUGGAAAGAGAGUUAAACAGUAUGUGAAAUUGUUGAAAGGGAAACGAUUGAAGUCAAUCAUGUUCUUGGACCUUUACGGGUCCUUGGAUAGGGUCAACAUCAGUUUUGUCCGUCGGAAAAGGGCUGGAGCAAGGUAGUACCCUCGGGUAAACUUAUAGGCUCCUGUCGCAUACGAUGGAGGAGACUGAGGCAUGCUUUUACAGGAUGUUGACAUAAUGGCUUUAAACGAC